CGCGCCCGCUCCGGCCUUAACCCCCUCGACUCUCCCGCCCGCCCCCCGAACCCACGCGGGCCACGGAGGGGGUCAAGGAGGGGCCCGGCAUCCCGGCCGUCCUCUGCGCCUCCCGCUCCUGCACCGGGCCCUUCUCCUCCGCUCAGGCUCCGUUCAGCUCUGGGGGCUGCGUGUCCCGAGCAGGGAUGGAGAUUCGGGGAGCCAAGGCUUCCUCCUGCCCGCCCGUCGCUCACGCUAGGAUGGAAUCUUCUUCCAACAUUUUAGCUCCCUCGGAGGAUUCCCCACAGGCUGUCCCUGAGAGAAUAGGCAUUUUACUUUUCUAAGAAGACCAGAAGUUUCUGCUAAGAAAUGGUAGUAACUUUCCGGCUAGACUUACCUGCUCACGCACAUGCGGUUCCACGGUCCUGCAGAUUUUGAGAGCAGCUUUGACCAACCAGGCCAAGGCCUCCCUUGCUUAAAAAUGUUAAUGAACGGACUAGUGGCUCAACCAAAAUCUUGACGUCUAUGCCUCAGGCUGCCUGUUUUGCUUUGCAGUAUUUGAUUUGCAAUAUUUGAUACUUUUCAUACAUCUGUCCUGGCGUUGCCUACGCUCCCAAAUAGUGAACAGUGCCGAGAGAGCACAGCCCUCCUGCUACACACGAAAGUCAUGAAUCAGACUAUUUUUUAAAGGCACAAACUCAACAUUUUUAGAGCUUCAUCUAGAGCAAUCCUUGUUCCAAACAGACUCUAGGAUGGCAUGACAUGCGAAAGAUUGUCAAGGGUGUGAAAGAAGUAGUUCUUGGGCUGCAGGAGGGCCUUGGAAGCAAAAACAUUUCCAUCAUGGAUCCAACCGUGGGAACUUAACGCAUGGCCCUUCGUUGAAACUGUUACUUUUAUUAUGUCCUUGAAAAAACUAGCUGUUUUAUAAAAUUCUCAUGUCAGAUCUGUUUGGAAUACUGCCCUUAGUUUUCUAGGUAUUAUGUUUGGAGCUCACAUCUCAGAAACCCCAAUGUUCCCAAAUCAGGUCACGUCUAUCUCAUUCUCACCUUUGUUAUUUGAGGCCCACUGACACCUACACAGACACCAUACUGCUUACUCCUCAUUGAUAGCCUGUGCCAUUAACAAUUUAAUGAGCAAAGGCUUCUAAGCAAACCCAGUUUGGUGUCAUGAACACAUGAUAUAAUUUUAAAAUGUCUAGUUCUGUUAUAAUCAGGAAUGAUAGAAGAUUUCCCCUGCUUCUGAUAAAUUAAAUGAAAACUUCCUAUUCACAGGACUCUUACAAGAUUUGAGAAUGGGUAUCAUUUAAUUACAUAUCCUGUACUAAUUACUCUUUUCCUUCUAUGUUAAAGAAGAGUGUCCCCAAACAACACAUUGUGACUUUCUAGAAGACAAUUGAUGCCAGAUGAGAUUAGAAAUGCAGUUACUAUAGAUGAGAAUGUUUGAUUCACUUUACCUUUUGAGAAACACUCCCUCAAUAACUGUUCAUUGGAUUUUGAAAAGCAACAACCCAUGUGUCAUGAACAGGCAGUCCAGGUGCACAGAGGCAAGAUCUGUAACGAGAAACUGAAUUUCUGUAAGAUGUGGGAAACAUUCCAUCUCUCUCAGGUACCAGAGUCACAGAAGAUGCCAGUUGAACAGAAAGGGACUAGGGAGGGAGGUGGGAGGCUUAUCUGUCUGUGGACUAGCAUGGAGUGCUGUCAUUCCUCAUUUUUCUUGUUUCUACAAAUUGUAGCAGUCACUCCAAGUAUGUGACUUUGGACUUCUGCUGCUUCGAAAGGCCCAGUGGCUUUCCAACCAAAUCCUUAGACUCAAUCUAUUGAUGUGUUUGUCUAAUAAAUCCUUUUUUUGUAAUGAUUUCUCAUCUAA
Molecule: long non-coding RNA, 1845 nt
Organism: Canis lupus familiaris (dog)
Lineage: Eukaryota; Metazoa; Chordata; Mammalia; Carnivora; Canidae
Exons: 2
Source: RefSeq, a predicted model, not a curated record